Parus major (Great Tit) is the source of this 2333-nucleotide long non-coding RNA. RefSeq lists it as uncharacterized. The transcript has 3 exons. The record is from RefSeq and is a predicted model, not a curated record. NCBI's taxonomy places the organism in Eukaryota, Metazoa, Chordata, Aves, Passeriformes, Paridae.
CAAAUGUUUUUUCAAUAGAUUUACUGCUUUGGCCUGUUUUCUUACACUGAAUACCUAAGGAUUUUGGACACUCUCAGGUGUGUUUAAUCCCUUCAUCCUUUCAACACCAGGUAUUUUAAACUGCUUUUCCCUGGGUAUCUUCUCUCUCCUUGGAAUUGUAUGCACUUGGUGGCUUCCAGAACUGGAUCCUUUACUACUGAUCCCAGGCACCACAUGAGACACAUGCUGACCGCAACGAAAUCCAAAGACCAAAGGGAGGUGAUUUAAAGCCACUCACUGAGAAAAGAGCUGCUUCCAGCCAGCCCAAGGAAAGGAUAAAUACAAGGAAAGGCUGGACUUUGACCUCUUUUGAGGCUAGGUGCCUGAGGGAAGCAUAUGAGGUGAUUCACAGCAGGGCAAGAUUCACUGAACCAGAAGGGAGGUCUUAAGGAAGCUGACUCCACUUUUCUUAGCUCUGUGGUUUUCAGCUGAGAGCAGGCAGGCAACUUCUGCUUUUGGAGAGCUGUUUUGCCCUAGGCAAUCACAGAAGAGUUGGAAUGACACAGAGACCAGAGAUAAGUGGGCAUCCUCACCCCAACAGGGCUGUGAUUUAUAAAGUGAGACACUGCCCAGGAGAGUGGGCUUUGUUGGGAGAAGAGGGAAAAAGGAGGGUCGCUUCUUACCCCUUGACACAGCAGAUUGAUUUGUCUGAAUGAAUGAGACUACAUAAUGCUGCCACUCUUUCUCUCAGCUACCUGUAACACAGGCCUUUAAACAUUAGAGAAGCCAUGAUCCUGCAGUGACUAGUAAGAUUCUGAAAAACACUUAGCCCAAGAGGAAUGAAGCACUGUCAGAGCACAAUGUUUAAUGUGUUCUGAUCAUUCUUUAAAUAUUUUUCUGUAGCCAAACAUACUAGCUCUUAACAUGAGCUACAAUGAUUACAGUAAAGCCAAGGAGAGAGCCUUGGAGUUUAACAAAACCAGCUUAAAAUACACAAAUUUGGUGAGUUUUUUGCAGUGGGUUUAGAAAUAGCUGUCAGAAUGUCCUUACAAUUUGUGCUGUGGUGCUGCACAGUGAAUUUGGUGCCACCAUCAAACUUUAAAUACUGACGCCUAGAUAUUUGAAGCAAUUUAGGUAGUCAGUCCUAUGAAUAUAGAGGAGGCUUGGGAUGAGAGCCAGCUGCCUACGAUCAGAUGGACAGAGACCUUCCAGGUGCCUGAUGGUACCCAAAUAAUCUGCACUUGGCAGGCAGACAUGAUGUGGUCCUGACAGGACCUGCAGGAAUCCCAUGCUCUGCUGGAGAGGCCUUUGAGGAGGAUACACUAUGGGACAUCCAGGGAACUCUGAACAUCCACGACAAGGCACUUAAACCACUUGGUCAGUUUUUGGAGCAGUGUUUGCUGUGCACACAGAGAUGCCCUGUGGGCUCUAUCUGCUCAGCCCUUGCUGAGGAGUUCCACACCCUGUGGGACAAGACCAUUGUGGGGCAAGACCAUUACAGUGGUAACGUGGAUACAGACAAUAUCCAUGUUGAAAUGAGCUGUUUUCCAAGGGAGGAAUAUGUUUUUUCUAUUCUGAUCUGUGACACCUAAGUGAAAAUUGAAUCCUAAAAUUGUAUUUUAUUAUGUGUUGGUAAAGCACAGCAAAGAUUUUCAAUGCUUUAUUAAAGGUUUUUAAUAUGCUUGAUUGCAUAUAUCCCAGCCAAAAUCUUCUCUAUCCUACAUAGGUAUUUAUCUCAGCCAGCAGAUUUUGUUUGCUCAGAUCCAAAUUAGAAAGUAUUUAAAGCAGAUAGCACAUCUCUAAAAAUAUACUGAAUUUACAAUGAAGCUUUAACAUUCUCUUGCUAAAUUUCACACAUCUGAUUUGAUUUCUGAAAAGAAAAGGUAAACACAGAAAUUUUCUUCACUAGUUCUCAUGGACUGCUUGCAACAAUACAAGAAGAAUAUUUCCUGUUUUACUACCAUGUAUUUGAAGUAGAGAACAAAUGCCCAUUCCCUUUACAGGCAAGAAAGUCAAGUUUCCAACUGCAGUUAAUGCCAUGUUUUGUUCUAUUUCUUGGUAAUGUAAGUUCUUAUGCAAAUUGAAUGUCUGCUGUUCAGACCCAGUUGAAUACAACAGGGGAGGCUGGAACCAAAUUGCUUCUGUCUGUCUUAACAGGACUUUUAAAUAAAAUCUACUUUACAUAGCUACAAAUCUUGCCAGGUUAAAUUCUCACUUUAGCCGUGUUCACAUUCUUGUUAAUUUAUUUUAACUGCAGCAGAGAAGGUUAGGGUAAUGGGAAGAGCUGAAAGUGGAAUGUUACAGUGAAACCUGCUGCCUGUAUUUAGAUAAUAUUCUUUCGAAGUGACAGACCA